CCCCUAGAUGUUCUGGGCCGCACGCGCGCUACACUGAACAGUUCAACAAGUCUUAACCUUGGCCGAUAGGUCUGGGUAAUCUUUGAACGCUGUUCGUGAUUGGGAUAGACCUUUGCAAUUAUGGGUCUUCAACGAGGAAUUCCUAGUAAACGCAAGUCAUCAGCUUUCAUUGAUUACGUCCCUGCCCUUUGUACACACCGCCCGUCGCACCUACCGAUUGAAUGGUCCGGUGAAAUCUCGGGACGGCGGCUUGGUCGCUUGCGUCCGACUGCUGAAACUUGAUUAAACCAUAUCAUUUAGAGGAAGGUGAAGUCGUANCA
Molecule: ribosomal RNA, 320 nt
Filed under: uncultured eukaryote
Lineage: Eukaryota
Description: partial 18S ribosomal RNA
Rfam family: Eukaryotic small subunit ribosomal RNA
Source: RNAcentral